Maylandia zebra (zebra mbuna) is the source of this 960-nucleotide long non-coding RNA. RefSeq lists it as uncharacterized. Lineage: Eukaryota; Metazoa; Chordata; Actinopteri; Cichliformes; Cichlidae. The record is from RefSeq and is a predicted model, not a curated record.
UUGUUGUUGUUUUAAAUACCAACCACUGGUUUCCGUGUGAGCUUCAGUCUUCCUUCCCUGCAUGUGGAGCGUCCUGACACGACACUAAAUUUCAAUGAACUUUCGUCCCCGAGCUCUCCAACAUGUACAACUACACAACAGGAAGCGUUUGAUCAGCGCCGCCACUCCAAGCCUAACAUCGCUUAUUCUGUUCCUGCAGAUACAGCUUUCUGCGUCGAGGUUACCACAUGACAACGCUGCAUGACGUGUGAGACGAUCACCAGCAACGACAUUAGCCAUGUCAACUUUGACGACACAAUGAAAUAACAACACAUAUGAUGAAGAAGCAUACAGAAAGAUCAGUAAAGUACAAUCGACCCAUAAACAAACCAAAUCCCUUAUACAGUUACAGACUGAUGAUGAGCAACCUCCAAAAUCAAAGGUUUCCCCAGGCCCCACGUGUGAAAGUACCAGGCUCCACCACUCUGCAGUCUGCCCCCCCAACUCACUUCUAGCAACCAUCAUGAUGCUCGGGCCAGCUACCGGCUCCUUUCGCCAACCUACACAGCUAUGCGACCUCCCCAGCAAAUAGUCUGCGUUCAGUACCUUCUCUAAUGACGAUGCAGCCUUCCAAAAACGUAAUCAUGAUAAACGAGCUGAUCAGAGAAGUCGGGGACCUCCGUGAGGAGUUCAGAGCCUUCGGUUAAUCCUGCAGCACUGACCCUGUUGAUGCUGGGGUAUUGCCUCUGGAUUAGCCAUUUAACAACAUAGAUGAGAUGAAGUGCAAUGACCGGAGGUGAAUAAAGCAAUGAUGGCCUGACUCAGCCGGUGGGGUAAACGCUGUUUCUGAGUUUGCCUUCGGCCAAGCUGUGCAGAAAUGUCUCCUCUACGCUCCAGAUCACAUGGGUGGUGCAGGAUGCCCGAUAUCCAGCUCGAUCCCUGAGUAAACUUAAAAUAAAAUAAUAAGUGACCUAUAACCAA